AGGACGAACGCUGGCGGCGUGCUUAACACAUGCAAGUCGAGCGGAAAGGCCCUUCGGGGUACUCGAGCGGCGAACGGGUGAGUAACACGUGAGCAACCUGCCCCUGGCUCUGGGAUAGCCUCCGGAAACGGGGAUUAAUACCGGACAUGACCUGCUGCCGCAUGGUGGCGGGUGGAAAGUUUUCGGCCAGGGUGGGGCUCGCGGCCUAUCAGCUUGUUGGGGGGGUGACGGCUCACCAAGGCGACGACGGGUA
RNAcentral lists this ribosomal RNA (253 nucleotides) under uncultured bacterium. Its description in RNAcentral is "partial small subunit ribosomal RNA". It matches the Rfam family "Bacterial small subunit ribosomal RNA", at positions 26 to 285 of the family's 1533-position model. The record is from RNAcentral.